AGAUUGAACGCUGGCGGCAUGCUUUACACAUGCAAGUCGAACGGUAACAGGCCGCAAGGUGCUGACGGGCGGCGAACGGGUGAGUAAUAUAUCGGAACGUGCCCAGUCGUGGGGGAUAACGUAGAGAAAUUUACGCUAAUACCGCAUACGAUCUAAGGAUGAAAGCGGGGGACCGUAAGGCCUCGCGCGAUUGGAGCGGCUGAUAUCAGAUUAGGUUGUUGGUGAGGUAAAAGCUCACCAAGCCGACGAUCUGUAGCUGGUUUGAGAGAACGACCAGCCACACUGGGACUGAGACACGGCCCAGACUCCUACGGGAGGCAGCAGUGGGGAAUUUGGACAAUGGGCGAAAGCCUGAUCCAGCAAUCGCCGCGUGCAGGAAGAAGGCCUUCGGGUUGUAAACUGUCGUUUUGUAACGGAACGUAAACGGUCUGUACUUUUAAUACUAAGUGGACUUAAGUAGUACGGUAACCGUAAAGAAUAAGACACCGGACUAACUACGU
RNAcentral lists this ribosomal RNA (500 nucleotides) under uncultured soil bacterium. RNAcentral's name for it is "bacterial SSU rRNA". It matches the Rfam family "Bacterial small subunit ribosomal RNA", at positions 26 to 506 of the family's 1533-position model. The record is from RNAcentral.